UACGGAGGGGGCAAGCGUUAUUCGGAAUUAUUGGGCGUAAAGGGUGCGUAGGCGGUGAGGUAAGUCGGAUGUGAAAUCCCGGGGCUCAACCCCGGAACUGCAUUCGAUACUGCCUUGCUUGAGCACUGGAGAGGAGACUGGAAUUUACGGUGUAGCAGUGAAAUGCGUAGAUAUCGUAAGGAAGACCAGUGGCGAAGGCGAGUCUCUGGACAGUUGCUGACGCUGAGGCACAAAGGCCAGGGGAGCAAACGGG
Molecule: ribosomal RNA, 253 nt
Filed under: uncultured bacterium
Lineage: Bacteria
Description: partial 16S ribosomal RNA
Rfam family: Bacterial small subunit ribosomal RNA
Source: RNAcentral